GACGAACGCUGGCGGCGUGCUUAACACAUGCAAGUCGAACGGAAAGGCCCUGCUUUUGUGGGGUGCUCGAGUGGCGAACGGGUGAGUAACACGUGAGUAACCUGCCCUUGACUUUGGGAUAACUUCAGGAAACUGGGGCUAAUACCGGAUAGGAGCUCCUGCUGCAUGGUGGGGGUUGGAAAGUUUCGGCGGUUGGGGAUGGACUCGCGGCUUAUCAGCUUGUUGGUGGGGUAGUGGCUUACCAAGGCUUUGACGGGUAGCCGGCCUGAGAGGGUGACCGGACACGUGGGCAGAGAGAUGCGGCAGAGACGACUACGGGAGGAAGGAGUGGAGAAUAGUGCAGCGGGGGCGGGAGUGUGAUGCAGCACCGCCGUGUGGGAGGUGAGGGUGUUGGGGUUGAAAAGCGUUUGCGUGUGAGGCGGAGCGUGUGACGGUAAAAGGGGAAAAAAGACAGGCGAACUCCGUG
RNAcentral lists this ribosomal RNA (466 nucleotides) under uncultured bacterium. Its description in RNAcentral is "partial 16S ribosomal RNA". It matches the Rfam family "Bacterial small subunit ribosomal RNA", at positions 28 to 507 of the family's 1533-position model. The record is from RNAcentral.